RNAcentral lists this ribosomal RNA (252 nucleotides) under uncultured bacterium. Its description in RNAcentral is "partial 16S ribosomal RNA". It matches the Rfam family "Bacterial small subunit ribosomal RNA", at positions 1239 to 1500 of the family's 1533-position model. The record is from RNAcentral.
CGAGAAGGCAGCUACACGGCGACGUGAUGCUAAUCCCGAAGCCUCUCUCAGUUCGGAUUGGAGUCUGCAACCCGACUCCAUGAAGCUGGAUUCGCUAGCAAUCGCGCAUCAGCCACGGCGCGGUGAAUACGUUCCCGGGCCUUGUACACACCGCCCGUCAAGCCAUGAAAGCCGGGGGUACCUGAAGUGCGUAACCGCAAGGAGCGCCCUAGGGUAAAACUGGUGACUGGGGCUAAGUCGUAACAAGGUAAC